UCAUAGGGCAGGCCAUGCUGUGCCUGAAUGCCACCUCCUCUGAGCCUCUUGUCUUCCCUGCAGGUCUCCUGCCCCUGGGUGAGGGGCCCAACAACAACUUGGCCAUCUCAGGGCACACAGCAGCCACACCAGUCACCCUCGCCACCACACAUGCCCUUCCACCAGGGCUUCUGGCCAUCAUCAGUGCAGAGAAGUUGGUCACAGGGUUGUCCUAGGCCCAACAUGGUCCCGCCUGCCCCUCACCAGCGGCCCAUGAGUGCCAACGGGAAGAUGUUUUCCUUUGUGAUGGACCCCAAGUCCCCUGUCAUCAAGCAAGUGUGGGCCAGUGCCAUGGAACUGUCAGAACAAUGUGUGGUCGAAGGGCUCUCUGGGGCGGUGCCUCCCACCGAGAUCUUCAUGGACCAGGACCUAGGCCAGCAAGACAAGGAUGAGAUCAUUAUGCUACUGGGGAGAGAAAUCAAUCGGCUCUCUGAUUUUGAAAUCGAGUCCAAAUACAAAGAUGCAGUGAUAAUGAACCUGCGGGGUGAGUUGGCUGAACUGAGUCAAAGGCUAUCAGAGACAGCCGCCUGUGGCACCACAGCUAGGCAGAGCGACAGGAGUGCCCUGAAGCUCCAGGGCCUGGAUGAAGACAAUGAUCUCAGGCAGAAGGAGAUUGAGAGCAUGAAAAGCCAGAUCGAUGCCCUUCAAAAAGGCUAUAGCCAGGUGCUAAGCCAGACCCUGGCUGACCGAAACUCGGAAAUCGCAUUACUGAAGAAUGAAGGCGAACACUUGAAGAGAGACCAUGCCAUCACAUCAGGGAUGGUGACGUCUUUACAGAAAGACAUGACAGCACGGGACGAGCAGGUUCAACAGCUGAAGGAGGAGGUGAGUCAAUUAAAGAGCCAGAACAAAGAAAAGGAGUACCAGCUGGAAGUCCUGGGCUCCAGGUGUUCAGUGCUGAAAGAAGAGCUGAGGAAGGAAGAGGCCCAGAAGGAGUGCAGGGAGGCUCAGGAGAAGGAGUUGAAACUCUGCAGAAGUCAAAUGGAAGACAUGGAGAAAGAAUUGAAGAAGCUCAGGGAGGAACUGAAGAAGAACAGUUCCAGUCAGAGUACCAACUCCAAGACGCUACGAGAAAAGAGUAAGGUUGAAGAGAAGCUUCAGGAAGAUUCCAGAAGGAAAUUGCUUCAGCUGCAAGAAAUGGGGAACAGAGAGACCCUCAUUAAAACCAAUUUGGAAAGGGCAGUAGGCCAGCUAGAGUACUUCAGAAGCCAGGUCAUCAAAGCCACUUUUGGAAAAGCAAAGCCGUUCCGUGACAAGCCUGUCACCGACCAGCAGCUGAUAGAGAAGAUCGUCCAGAUCACCGAGGACAACCUCAGCUUCCAUCAGAGGAAGUGGGCCCUGCAGAAGGAUACUCACCUGAGCAACUCCAAGCAGGAGGAGACCAUGGAGAACAUGGAGAAACUGAGGACACUGCUGA
Molecule: long non-coding RNA, 1456 nt
Filed under: Cricetulus griseus (Chinese hamster)
Lineage: Eukaryota; Metazoa; Chordata; Mammalia; Rodentia; Cricetidae
Description: lncRNA (ENSCGRG00000025903.1)
Source: RNAcentral